RNAcentral lists this ribosomal RNA (647 nucleotides) under Lulesia popinalis. Its description in RNAcentral is "eukaryotic LSU rRNA". The stretch from base 238 to 391 matches the Rfam family "5.8S ribosomal RNA". Lineage: Eukaryota; Fungi; Basidiomycota; Agaricomycetes; Agaricales; Entolomataceae. The record is from RNAcentral.
UGGGUUGAUGCUGGUUCCUCGGGACAUGUGCACGCCCUGUCGCCAUUCUUAAACCACCUGUGCACCUUCUGUAGACUAGAAACAAGAUGCUCGAGGCAACUCGGUUGUGAGAACUGCUGCGUUCGUUUAGAGCCAGCUGUUCUUGAGUUUCUUAGUCUAUGUCUUUACUAUAACACGCCAUAUUGUAUGUCAUUGAAUGUAUUGUUGGGCACAUCAUAAUGCCUGUAAACUUAAUACAACUUUCAACAACGGAUCUCUUGGCUCUCGCAUCGAUGAAGAACGCAGCGAAAUGCGAUAAGUAAUGUGAAUUGCAGAAUUCAGUGAAUCAUCGAAUCUUUGAACGCACCUUGCGCUCCUUGGUAUUCCGAGGAGCAUGCCUGUUUGAGUGUCAUUAACUACUCAACCUUGCAGGUCUUCAUCCACCUUGCAUGGCUUGGACUUUGGGAUUUCUGCAGGCUUUUAACAAUGGUCUGCUGUCCUUAAAUGCAUUAGCAAAGCUCAUUGCUGGACUUUUGGUGUGAUAACUAUCAUCGCCAUUGGGACAGCAUGUCUAUUGACGCUUGGCUUCUAAUUGUCCUUUGUUGUGACAGUACUUUUGACAAAUCUGACCUCAAAUCAUGUAGACUACCCGCUGAACUUAAGCAUAU